GUGAGCUUAGUUCAGUUGGUACGGAUAUUGCAUAUUAUAUGCAGGGGCCGGGGUUCGAACCCCGGAUACUCCA
This 73-nucleotide transfer RNA is filed under the name Medicago truncatula (barrel medic). RNAcentral's name for it is "tRNA-OTHER". The record is from RNAcentral. Lineage: Eukaryota; Viridiplantae; Streptophyta; Magnoliopsida; Fabales; Fabaceae.